GCGCGUGUGGUGAAAUUGGUAGACACGCAGGAUUUAGGUUCCUGUGACUGCGGUCGUGCGGGUUCAAGUCCCGCCACGCGCACC
Molecule: transfer RNA, 84 nt
Filed under: Microbacterium nanhaiense
Lineage: Bacteria; Bacillati; Actinomycetota; Actinomycetes; Micrococcales; Microbacteriaceae
Also listed under: 1 other name
Description: tRNA-Leu
Rfam family: tRNA
About the family: Transfer RNA (tRNA) molecules are approximately 80 nucleotides in length.
Source: RNAcentral